UACAGAGGGUGCAAGCGUUAAUCGGAAUUCCUGGGCGUAAAGCGUGCGUAGGGGGUUUUUUAAGUCAGGUGUGAAAUCCCUGGGCUCAACCUGGGAACUGCAUUUGAUACUGGAAAGCUAGAGUGUGGUAGAGGAUGGUGGAAUUCCCGGUGUAGCGGUGAAAUGCGUAGAUAUCGGGAGGAACAUCAGUGGCGAAGGCGGCCAUCUGGACCAACACUGACACUGAGGCACAAAAGCGUGGGGAGCAAACAGG
This 253-nucleotide ribosomal RNA is filed under the name uncultured bacterium. Its description in RNAcentral is "partial 16S ribosomal RNA". It matches the Rfam family "Bacterial small subunit ribosomal RNA", at positions 524 to 776 of the family's 1533-position model. The record is from RNAcentral.